AUACGUAGGUGGCAAGCGUUGUCCGGAAUUAUUGGGCGUAAAGCGCGCGCAGGUGGUUCCUUAAGUCUGAUGUGAAAGCCCCCGGCUCAACCGGGGAGGGUCAUUGGAAACUGGGGAACUUGAGUGCAGAAGAGGAUAGUGGAAUUCCAAGUGUAGCGGUGAAAUGCGUAGAGAUUUGGAGGAACACCAGUGGCGAAGGCGACUGUCUGGUCUGUAACUGACACUGAGGCGCGAAAGCGUGGGGAGCAAACAGGAUUAGAUACCCUGGUAGUCCACGCCGUAAACGAUGAGUGCUAAGUGUUGGGGGGUUUCCGCCCCUCAGUGCUGCAGCUAACGCAUUAAGCACUCCGCCUGGGGAGUACGGUCGCAAGACUGAAACUCAAAUGAAUUGGCGGG
This 396-nucleotide ribosomal RNA is filed under the name uncultured bacterium. RNAcentral's name for it is "partial 16S ribosomal RNA". It matches the Rfam family "Bacterial small subunit ribosomal RNA", at positions 523 to 917 of the family's 1533-position model. The record is from RNAcentral.